UCAGUCCCCGUCUGAAUGGGAUUUGUUUAUGGUCUGCUGUUUUCCUCUUCUCUUAGGAAAUCUCGACUUUCUAUACUUGGAAAUACAUACCUAUCAAAUGACUGAAGAAAAAUGGAGAGCUUUUCUUAUACGGGAUUGAGCUGCACGUGCAGGCCUACACCACAACCACAGCAACACCAGAUCUGAGCCAUGUCUAUGACCUACACCACAGCUCAUGGCAACACCAGAUUCUUAACCUACUGAGCAAGGCAAGGGAUCAAACCCACAUCUUCAUAGAGACAACGUCCGGUCCUUAAUAUGCUGAGCCACAAUGCAACCCCAAGGUUUUUGAUUUUGUUUUGUUUUUAGACAAUGACUUGUUCUGUGCUCACUCUGUUCCAGUCAGGGACCAGCCAAAAGCUUAAUAUAUUUCAUUAUUUCAUCCUCACCCAUGAGCUAAGGGUGGAUACUUCUAUUAUCCCCAUUUUUAGCAGAGGGCGAGGGUCUCCUGCCUAUCCCAUGGUUGGUAAGUAGGGGGCCCAGGGAUUCCAAAAAGCUUUUUGUGGGGAUUAAGUGAAUUGAUAUUUUUAAUGUACUUAUCACUGCCUGGCCCAUAGAAAAUAUUAUCUAAAUGUUAGCAGUUAUUGUAAUGAUUUUAGAAGAUCCUCUCCCAGUUCUUUCUCUCCUACUGACAGAGCUAGAGUUUUCACCUCUUUCUACCCCUACUUUGAACAAACCUGAGAAGACCUGUGUUCACUCCUUUCCUAGCAGGGCCAACAGAUUCUGGUGAAGUAAAGCUUCUCUAGUCAACAUGAUUUAUAAGGAAUAAGAAGAGAGAGAAAGCAGCUUCUCAGAAUAUGGAGGGGGUUGGUGACUCCAGUAGGGUGAAAAGUGGACUGUAGGAAUUAUUGGUGAGAAGGGAGAGAGCACAGAAAAUCAGAGCCCUGUGCUUGGCCUCCAGAAGCCUCAGUUAGCAAAGAGGGCCCCCCCUUCCAAUUACAGCCAUCCCUUGGUAUCCCCCAGGGAUUGGUUCCAGGAUCCCUAUGGGUACCGAGGUCCACAGAUGCUCAAGUUCCUCACAUAAAAUGGCAUUGUAUUUGCAUAUAACCUAUGCAUGUGCUCCCAUAUACUUUAAAUCAUCUCUAGGUUACCUAUAAUACCAAAUACAAUGUAAAUGCUAGGUAAAUAAUUGUAAAUACAAUGUAAAUUCUAUGUAAAUAGUUGCUGGUGUGGAGCAAAUUCAAGUUUUUCUUUUUGGAACCUUCUGGAAUUUUUUUUUUCCCCCAAAUAUGUUCAAUCCAUGGUAGGUUGAGUUUGUGCAUGUGGAACCUCAGAUACAGAGGGCUGACUGCAGUGCAAAGGGAUGAGGUAGUCACAUUGAAAGCUCAGUGACCAGUCCCAUAUCCUUCACUGCCUAGUCCUCUACAAUUGGCCCUUUCACUUGAACCACUGAACUGCUGAAAUUCUCUGUAUGGUCUAGUGGUUGUAUAUGGUUGAUCCUUGAAUAAUACAGGUUUCAACCACACAGGUCGACUUAUAUGUGGAUUUUUUCAAUAAUAAAUACUGUGGUAAUACUCCAUCCAAGGUUGAUGUAAAACCUGUGGAUGCAGCGUUACAUAAGUUAUAUUCGGAUUUUCAACUGUGGAGAGGAUCGGCACCUCUAACUUAUGCAUUGUUCAAGGGCCGACUGUAUUUUACAUGAGCAUGGGUGAAAGAAGAAGUCACUGGAGCAGAGAAUAUGGUAGAUCUUUUUAUAUGGUCACAGACAGAUUACUAGGUAUCAAGGGCAAGCACCUGGAGUCAAUGAUGGGCCACAACAAUGAGGAAGAGCUUUUCACAUUAUCUUCCAUACCUAGAUAGCUGAAUGCAGGUGUUUCUGAUACACACAUAUCAGUGGAUUUGCAUGAACUAAUGAAUUCUUUUUACCAAUUUGUGUUAAGCUUCUGUCAUGUUUAGCCACAGAGUCCUGAUUAGUCAUGCCACAUAACUUGGGAAAAUAAUUUUUUUAUGUUAAAUACAAGGAGCGAUUUCCAAAGAACCCAAAGAACUGAAAUAGUAGAUGGAUUUAAUGUCCCUGAUUUUAGAGAACAAAGUCUCUGGUGGUAUUCUAGGUUAACUAAUUAAAGAUGAGAAGAUGAAUCAGGAUUUUGACACCGGAGUUAUGGAAGGUGCUAGUAUUUACACAUAUCUAAACUCUAACAUAAAAGCUGAAUUGGGACCGAGGGGCAAGGCUUCUUUUCUUUACCCUCAUGGAAGUCUGCUUCUAAAGUGAAUGUGCUGAUCCUAUUGACUUUAGGCAUCCUAGUUAUAUGGCACUUUAAAAAAAUGUACUGUACCAAGUGGCAUUUGGUGUUUAAUGCUUUAGUCUUCUGAAUUCAUUAAUAUGUGUCUACUCUUGGGAGGUGGCAGUGUUCCAGCGACUUAGCUAUUGUCAUUUCACUCCACAUUUAAGCUAUUCUAGUCUGCUCUGUGAUGAUGUAGUGGGACUUUGCAAACUACAUUUCCCAGAAUCCUUUGCCUGUUAGUCUCCCUGAGUAGCAGGCUCUACAAAGAAAUUAGAAUUUAGGAGGAGGAGAGGAGGGAUUUUCAUUGUGUUGACUUGGUACUCCUGUUAGUAAGGCUCCUACAGGUGUAUUUUGUUCCAGGCUCCAGCUUCUUUUGAUAUUUUGCUCCUUUGUCUCCUCUGUGGUACCUUGAGCAGUCACAUCUCCCUCCUCUGACUUUGGGUUCUGAUAGUCUAAACCCUCAUUUGUGUUUCCCUGGCCUAAGGGAUGGUAGCUGCACUUAUUAUCUCUGGGUGACCUCAGUGUUUCUAUUUUGCUCUUUUAGCCCCCCAAACCUGUGAAACCAAUUCCUUAUAUUUAAUUCCCUCUCAAAGUACUUGCUUUGGUAUCUGUUUUCCUGACUAGAUCCCAGGAAAUACAUCCAAAAAGAAGGAACUCUGGAAUUGGUUCAUUUAUGUUCUUGGCCUUGAAUAACUGCUUAAUGCCUUUGCAAUAAAAAAAAUGAGUUGUUAAUAAUCCAUGCAUUAGUAUCAUUACUAACUAAAUGGUCUUUUGUGGUUGAUUGUGAUAAAGUGUUUGCUGAAGCAAAUGUCUUGGAGACCAAGUGGCUACCAAAUGAAUCUUUUUGCCUGUAGUAAAACCUAUAAGAAUUAGAAACUAGAAUGUAGAGUAAGUCUUUUUGAUUGAACUGAUGAGCUUACUGAGAGAAAAUGACAAAUUCAGACAAAACUUUCAACUAAAGACACUAUUGGAGAAUCAGAGUUUCUGUAGCAGCCCUAAAAGAUUCUUUUACUUUCUGUAGUCACUGAGCUGACUUUGCUGAAGACCAGUUCAUAAUUCAAUUGUGUAUGUUGCAGAACUACAAUAAAGGUUGGUUUUAUAAGCUACCAAUCUCUUACUUGAAAGUUAAGACACUGAUUGGGAAGGAGUGACACCUAGAAUGGGGAACCUGUGUGAGUUCAGACAAAGCUGAACAUCUGGAACCCCUGAGUCUUACUUAGCCUCCUUUGCCUCCUGCUGUAUCUGAGGAAAUACUUUUCCUUACUCCAAGGCUGUAAUAAACUCACAUAAGCUGGUUUCAGUAAAAAAGGAUACUUGCCUUGUCAAAACUUACCAGCACCAUUUCUCAUGACCUCUACAACUCAAGUCAGGACAAAAAUGGGGAGAGUACAGCUGUUACCAAAUUCAGGUCUGGCUGCUCACUGCUUGAAAAUCAAUACCUGAGAGAUAGGGAAAUAUUGGUAGAAAAGAAAGUUUUUUCAAUCAGAAUGCUGGCAAUCUGGGGAGAUGGUGGACUCCCUGUCCCCCACCCCCAAACCAUCUCUGAAGAUUCUGCUCAACCAUAAAAGCUUUUAAAGGGAAAUCACUGAGAUGGGGGUCAAAGUGGUCACCAUCCUACACUACGUGCAGGCUUGUCGCUUUUUUGUGAUCUUUCUUUAUGGUUUGUGAGAUUACUGAAGGGGAUGCUGGAGAAGAGAUCUGGUCAUAUGUUAAUUACUUAUUCUCCAUUUCCUCUUUAAUCUAGAACCAACAGGUUAGGCAAGGUAUUAUGUGAUCAAAAGAUGUGAAAGUUGUGCUAGGGCCAGAGAUGAAUAGAGCAUGGAGGUACCUGGUUUAAAGUUAGUGACCAGGCAAAAGGGGGCCUCCUGAAGAGAGCUCUUUCCUGCCAAGGGAUAUUUCCUGCCAAAUGUUGCUUAGAUAGCAAUGCUCAAAAAAAUUGUAAAAUUUGCUAUUAUAUAUUGGCAGAAACCUGGUGAAUUUAUGUGGGAAUGGAUUUUCUGGUUGUUAGGUGAAGAUAGAUGGAAUAUAACUUUGGAUUAGGCUAAGUUUAUUGAUAUGAGUUCACGGAGAGUUUGGAUUUAAUAUGUUGGUGCAAGUAGCUGGAAGCAGCUGUAACUGCUUGCUUGGUUGAUUGAAUGAAACUUGGAUUCAAUUAUUGUCUUCAUUCAGUUAGGUGGAGAUGCCAAAAUUUCGAGGCAUAACAUUGAGGAAGGAAUUCAAAGGUUUAGGGAGUUGGGAACUUUGGAGUGGGUUAAUCAUAUACGGUCUCAUACUGCCCUACUCUUCUGCUAAAAUAUUAGAUAGGACCCAGCAAUUACUCCCUUCACUAAGGCAUAGAGAAAUAAAUUAGUGAGAGGAGCUCCAGCAUCCAUAAAAAUAACAAUGUGACUGUGGUGGCUGCUCUCUGGAGGCUAGGGGUGAGGGCAACAGAAUAUUUUAACUCACCGUGCACAGGAAAACACUGAGCCCACCCCACCCUCCUCCAAAUUUAAGUUUGUUGGGAGUAGAUGUAGAGCAAGAACCCGUAUCUAUUAACUUUCAGUCUGAGACCCUUCAUUCAACUUGAUUUAUGCCAAUAUCCAUCAGAUUGUUUUGGUGUGUUCUUCAAGGCUUAAAUGAUUUUAUACAUUUAUUUUCAUGCACAUUUGUUUUCUCUCUCAUGAAUAACUCAUGGGUAGAAAAUCAUGAGACAAUCCCAUAACAUGCAAAAUAAAAAAUUGCAAUCCAUUGGAGUCAUUCUGCUGCAAGCAUGUUUAUGCUGCUUUUAAGCUACAAAGGCAGAGCUGAAAGUUGCAAAAGAGACCUUAUGACUUCCAAAGCCUAAAAUGUUUACUAUAUAGCCCUUUAGGAAAAAGUUUGCUCGCCUCUGCUCCAAAAAUGAAAAUAUUGCAGACAAAGCUUAAGUUCUUUGGGGGUUCCCAUUUUGAUACAAUGGUAUGGGCAGCAUUUCUGGACCCCUGAAUCACAAGUUCAAUCCCUGGCCUAGCUCAGUGGGUUAAGGAUCUGGUGUUGUGGCUGUGGCAUAGGUUGCAACUCCAUAUGCUGCAGGAUGGCCAAAGAAGAAGAAAAAAAGCUUAAGUUCUUAGUAAUUACUCCUCUUUUUGUCAGUAUAAAUUCAGUAAUAUUAUGUUUCCAUGUUUGUAGAUUAUUUGUAGAUUUAAAUAACUGUGAUUUCUCUGUCACUAGGAAAGAUGGGGGCAAAGUUCUCAAAAGACAGAGCAGAAUGUCUAUCUCCUAAAGAAGGUAGGCUACUCGAUCUCCCUUUUCAUGGGCAUGUUUUAAAGAUUAUAAUUACCACAGAGAACUUUUACAGGUCACUGAUAAAAUGCAAAGUUGCCUCCUGAUGAUUAAGAGGUAAUUUUACUUGUUCCAAUUGUUAACUAUUUCCAAUUCACUACAUUAAAAAAAACCCUUUCCUCACUAAUAUUUAAAGGCCUGCUAAUUUGCCAAAUUUAAAAGUGGUACACAUUCAUUAUGUAAAAUUGGAGAAAUAUUAAAAAGUAGAAAGAAAAAAUAUAUAUAACUCUCUGGACCAACCACCUAAAGACAACCAUGGUUAACAAUCUGCUUUCUUUCCUAGCAUUAAUUUUAAUUGAAAAAUGCUCAGUAAAUACAAAGAAAAAAUUAUGCAUCAUUAUUUUCUGACUGUUUCUAGCUUAGCUUCAAAUGUAAUAUUUAUGGACUAUUUAGUCAAUAAAUAAUUAGUUG
This 5972-nucleotide long non-coding RNA is filed under the name Sus scrofa (pig). RNAcentral's name for it is "lncRNA (ENSSSCG00060005878.1)". Lineage: Eukaryota; Metazoa; Chordata; Mammalia; Artiodactyla; Suidae. The record is from RNAcentral.